This 483-nucleotide ribosomal RNA is filed under the name uncultured bacterium. RNAcentral's name for it is "partial 16S ribosomal RNA". It matches the Rfam family "Bacterial small subunit ribosomal RNA", at positions 30 to 507 of the family's 1533-position model. The record is from RNAcentral.
UUGAACGCUGGCGGAAUGCUUUACACCUGCAAGUCGAGCGGCAGCGCGGCCUUCGGGCUGGCGGCGAGCGGCGAACGGGUGAGUAAUGCAUCGGAACAUGCCCAGUCGUGGGGGAUAACACUUCGAAAGAAGUGCUAAUACCGCAUACGUCCUGAGGGGGAAAGCGGGGGAUCGCAAGACCUCGCGCGAUUGGAGUGGCCGAUGUCAGAUUAGCUAGUUGGUGGGGUAAAGGCCUACCAAGGCGACGAUCUGUAGCUGGUCUGAGAGGAUGAUCAGCCACACUGGGACUGAGACACGGCCCAGACUCCUACGGGAGGCAGCAGUGGGGAAUUUUGGACAAUGGGGGCAACCCUGAUCCAGCCAUUCCGCGUGAGUGAAGAAGGCCUUCGGGUUGUAAAGCUCUUUCGGCAGGAACGAAACGGUGGGCUCUAACAUAGUCCGCUAAUGACGGUACCUGAAGAAGAAGCACCGGCUAACUACGUG